Molecule: ribosomal RNA, 27 nt
Filed under: Tuber indicum
Lineage: Eukaryota; Fungi; Ascomycota; Pezizomycetes; Pezizales; Tuberaceae
Description: partial 28S ribosomal RNA
Source: RNAcentral
GCUGAACUUAAGCAUAUCAAUAAGCGA